GGGAAACUUACCAGGUCCAGACACAGGAAGGAUUGACAGAUUGAUAGCUCUUUCUUGAUUCUGUGGGUGGUGGUGCAUGGCCGUUCUUAGUUGGUGGAGUGAUUUGUCUGGUUAAUUCCGAUAACGAACGAGACCUCAGCCGGCUAAAUAGCCACACUCGCCCUUCGGGGCGGGUGCCUAUUCACGGCUUCUUAGAGGGACUACCAGGGUCGCACCUGGUGGAAGUUUGAGGCAAUAACAGGUCUGUGAUGCCCUUAGAUGUUCUGGGCCGCACGCGCGCUACACUGACGCCGUCAACAAGCUCAUCCUGGGCCGAAAGGUUUGGGUAAUCUUUGAAACGGCGUCGUGAUGGGGAUUGAUCUUUGUAAUUAUUGAUCAUGAACGAGGAAUACCUAGUAAGCGCAAGUCAUCAGCUUGCGUUGAUUACGUCCCUGCCCUUUGUACACACCGCCCGUCGCUCCUACCGAUUGAAUGAUCCGAUGAAAUGCUUGGACUGUUUGGCUGCGGCUGCGCAAGCGGCCGUGGUUGGGCGGGAAGAGCAGUGAAUCUUAUCAUUUAGAGGAAGGAGAAGUCGU
This 575-nucleotide ribosomal RNA is filed under the name Paratrimastix pyriformis. RNAcentral describes it as "SSU rRNA". It matches the Rfam family "Eukaryotic small subunit ribosomal RNA", at positions 1208 to 1792 of the family's 1831-position model. The record is from RNAcentral. Lineage: Eukaryota; Preaxostyla; Paratrimastigidae.